Phoenix dactylifera (date palm) is the source of this 874-nucleotide long non-coding RNA. RefSeq lists it as uncharacterized. The record is from RefSeq and is a predicted model, not a curated record. NCBI's taxonomy places the organism in Eukaryota, Viridiplantae, Streptophyta, Magnoliopsida, Arecales, Arecaceae.
UUCGAUUUCCCCUUUUUCGAUCUCGAUCCGGUGAUCUCUUCUGCAGAAAGGGCUUCUUCUCUGUGAUCUCGAGCCUCCCCUCGAUCCCUCUGCGGCUCCGCCUUCCGCCUCCAGGUGAGAAAGAAACAUGUCGAACGACUUGUCCAUGAACUCCUCGCCGCGCCGAGUGCACCACGCACCGUGUGCACUUUGCCGUUACUUGGAGCAAAUACGCCGCCGGGACUUCCCGCUCGCCGAUCACUUCCCGGCCAACCAGCCGAGAUGCUUCCUUUACGUGAGCAGAGUUUACGGCGCGCGUAACGUUGCGAGGAUGCUCCAGGAGUUGCCCCGAAGCCAGCGGACGGCAGCCGUGAAAUCCUUGAUCUAUGAUGCAGCCGUUCGCAUCCACUACCCCGUUCGUGGUGCCGCCGGGGUCGUCUCGGGCCUCCGGAGGCAGCUCAUGAAUCUGAGGGCGGAGAACGCGUCGCUGGGAAAUCAGCUCGCUCAGCUUCAGCAGCCUGCUGCGGCUGCCGCAGCAGCAAGCGAAGCACCUCGGCAAGGGAAAGGAAGCGGGCCACCUGGAGGCGAUCACCCCGGGGAACCAAGUUCUCCUUAGGACAACAAGCCUCCUCGCGUUGCACUCUCAGAGUCUUCUUGAAGGUUUAAAAAUAAGAUGUGAAAGGAGAUGGGGAUAAAAAGAGAAAUAUGCAUCCUCAGGUGUUAUUUUACAUUGUUGACCUGUUCCAGCAAAAGUUGAGGGCUUUUUACUCCUUUGUAAUUAAACAAUGAAGUUGCAUGUUGUGGGUGUUGUUAUACUUUUUCUACCAUUUAUCUGGUUAUCGGACUAUGUUGUGUUUAAGCAAUGCAAUAUGAUUAUGUGAUGUUAACUUGUCAU